AUUGAACGCUGGCGGCAGGCCUAACACAUGCAAGUCGAGCGAGCGGCGGACGGGUGAGUAAUGUAUGGGGAACUGCCCGAUGGCGGGGGAUAACUACUGGAAACGGUAGCUAAUACCGCAUACUAUCGGAUGUACCCAUAUGGGAUUGGCUAGUUGGUGGGGUAAAGGCUCACCCAGGCGACGAUCUCUAGCUGGUCUGAGAGGAUGACCAGCGACACUGGAACUGAGACACGGCCCAGACUCCUACGGGAGGCAGCAGUGGGGAAUAUUGCACAAUGGGCGCAAGCCUGAUGCAGCCAUGCCGCGUGUAUGAAGAAGGCCUUCGGGUUGUAAAGUACUUUCAGCGGGGAGGCGUUACCCGCAGAAGAAGCACCGGCUAACUCCGUGCCAGCCGCCGCGGUAAUUC
This 406-nucleotide ribosomal RNA is filed under the name uncultured bacterium. RNAcentral's name for it is "partial 16S ribosomal RNA". It matches the Rfam family "Bacterial small subunit ribosomal RNA", at positions 30 to 526 of the family's 1533-position model. The record is from RNAcentral.